This 61-nucleotide transfer RNA is filed under the name human gut metagenome. It matches the Rfam family "tRNA", at positions 8 to 63 of the family's 71-position model. Rfam says of the family: Transfer RNA (tRNA) molecules are approximately 80 nucleotides in length. Their secondary structure includes four short double-helical elements and three loops (D, anti-codon, and T loops). The record is from RNAcentral.
AGUAGCUCAGUUGGUUAGAGCACAUGACUGUUAAUCAUGGGGUCCUAGGUUCAAGUCCUAG